AUUCCUGCCUGGCAGGGGAGGUACCCUCCACGAUCUCGAAGGUGGUUUCCCAGGGAGAGGCUUAUCCAAAGCACUCGGGAUGUGCUGACCCCUGCGAUUUCCCCAAAUGUGGGAAAUGCAACUGUAUAAUUUGUGGUAGUGGGAGACUGCAUUCCUGCUCUGCCCUG
Molecule: small nuclear RNA, 167 nt
Organism: Molossus molossus (Pallas's mastiff bat)
Lineage: Eukaryota; Metazoa; Chordata; Mammalia; Chiroptera; Molossidae
Product: U1 spliceosomal RNA
Exons: 1
Source: RefSeq, a predicted model, not a curated record